CACGUCAGCGCGCUUUGCUUACGUGGACACAAAUCGCGCCUACGAGGACGUGAUUUUCUGACACAUCAGCAAAACGCGCUGACGUCC
Molecule: microRNA precursor, 87 nt
Organism: Gossypium raimondii (Peruvian cotton)
Lineage: Eukaryota; Viridiplantae; Streptophyta; Magnoliopsida; Malvales; Malvaceae
Rfam family: MIR7486 microRNA precursor family
Source: Rfam